GAAUCAGGUAGGAAUACCCGCU
This 22-nucleotide ribosomal RNA is filed under the name Fusarium sp. KC-2010ba. RNAcentral describes it as "partial 28S ribosomal RNA". Lineage: Eukaryota; Fungi; Ascomycota; Sordariomycetes; Hypocreales; Nectriaceae. The record is from RNAcentral.